UCUCCGUUGGUGAACCAGCGGAGGGAUCAUUACAGGACUCGCAAGACUCCUACAACCCUGUGAACUUAACUAUAAGCACGUUGCUUCGGCGGGCGUCUCGGAGAGGGUUCUCCCUCCCCGGGGCGCUAAGCCCGCCGGCAGCCUACUAUACUCUGUCUCUUUGCGUUGGCAUCUCGAGUACAAACAAACAAGUUAAAACUUUCAACAACGGAUCUCUUGGUUCUG
Molecule: unclassified non-coding RNA, 225 nt
Filed under: plant metagenome
Description: partial contains small subunit ribosomal RNA, internal transcribed spacer 1, and 5.8S ribosomal RNA
Source: RNAcentral